This 471-nucleotide long non-coding RNA is filed under the name Ananas comosus (pineapple). RNAcentral's name for it is "long non-coding RNA (ACOM_LNC026300)". The record is from RNAcentral. Lineage: Eukaryota; Viridiplantae; Streptophyta; Magnoliopsida; Poales; Bromeliaceae.
CUUCGUCCUCCAAAAUGUUUUAAAUAAUAGAAAUUUCGAGUCAAUGAUCAGAACCGUUAAAAUCGAUUUAGAGUAUUUAAAACGUCUAGAAACUAAAUUUCAUGAAUUUUAAAAAUGCAAUGAUCAGAAGAUCACAAAAUCAACCAUUUUUGACGACCUAUAUAAGCCAUUUGUUUAUUUAACAGUUUAGAACAAUCCAAACAGCUUGAUUUUUUGUAUAAAAAAUCUUUUAUGCUAUUUAGAUAACGUUCGAUGACUCUGAUCGUGAAUUGAAAAAAUCCAACAUCUAUUUUCACAAGGUUAUUUAUUUUUUACUAAUCAUUUUUCGACUAUUCAAUAAACCUGAUAACAAAUUUUAAAAUAUAUAAAAUUUAGUUUCUAGACAUUAUAAUAAAUACUCUUAACUAUUCCGAUCAUCGAUUUGGAAUCUCUAUCAUCUAAAACUGAUGAUUUAGAAGGACGAAGCGCUCC